AUAAUAGUGCGUACCCAAGAUCAUAGGAUUAUAUGAGAUCCAAAAUUGUAAAACCAUAGUCGUUAACAAUUCCUUUUUAUAAUGAUUUUUCAUUUGGUAUUCAGUACUUGCUUUGAAUUGUUCGAUUAAUUUGAAGACAAGUUCAACACAAGUAGGUUGAAAAUUAUUAAAGUCAUAUUGCAAACUCAUGAACUUUCUUUGAUUUUUGUACUUUUCAACAAUUUUGAAUAAUCAAAUACCUUCGACCAAGACAUAAACAUUAUAAAAAAAUUUAUGAAUGGUACUAUAUAUAUAUAACUCAUAUUCCCAAAACCUCAAACAAUAAGCUUUUAGAAAUCAUGAAAAUGAUUAUAACUUGUAUUUUUGCAUUACUUGUUAUACAAGAAAUGGCCAUUUUUCAAAAUAGCCAUUUAGAAAUAUGGCCACUACUAGAUGUUUAUGCAGAGAUGAUGAGACCUUCUCCGCCACCACCACCACCACCAAAGGCCGCGCCACCUAUUAGGCCAAGAUUACUGAUUGAACCACCUACCCCGCCGUCUCCAUAGUUGACUCAAAGUUUUGAUUUGUUGGUGUGCAAAGAUGGAGCUAGGAUUUUGAGUUUAUGAAUUUUGAAUUCUAGAAAAUGUAGCUCACUAGAUUCUUUGUAAGUUAUUUAUACGUAAUAAGUAGAUAUGAAAAUACAAAAUAGGGUUUGAGUCAAAAUUAUUGAGUUCUGGUGAACCUUCUUGUGAAGUUGUAGGCUUGUAGCUCCACCACUAAUGAUGUGUUACCAUGUUCAUAUUUUCACUAUGUGUAUGAUUGCGUUUAGUACUUCAUAUAAUAAAGCAAGGCUUUCAUUCUUUCUCUCCCUCUUUUUUCCCCUUCAUUUUAAUACUUAUAUUGGAAUCUGACUAAAUUCAAAUUUGUGACAAUACUGUGGUUGUGUGUUUUCUUUAAUUAUUUCAGGAUAAGUUAUUCCACCACGUAUAAAUGAUAACUUAUCCUAUCACUAAGGUAUAAAUAGUAGGAUAAAUUAUAAUCUCAAAAUAACCUAAUACCUUCAAUUUUGAGAGGAUGAAUGCACUAUUAUAAAAGUCAAAUAUGAGAGGCUUGUUGGUCUAUAUUAAGUGAAUUAUUAGCCCGCUCUUCUCUGAAGGAUCACUACAAAAUCCCUAUAUAUCAUGCUUUAACUAAUAAACAUAAAAAUGAAAAACUUGGAAAGGAGCAGAUGUAUUUGUUGUCCAUAAGAUGCAUAAAUGAAAGAAAAUAAAUACUUCAGUAGCUUAAUUUGAUUUUGACAUAACACGUGAAAAGUUGAAAUUAAAGAGUUAGACGUAAAAAUGUACCAGAAUUGAGAAGUGAGAGCAGGUCCAGUAGGGAAAGGAGCCAACCAUCCAAUCACAUUCAAGUCGAUCUCUCCUCAGCCAGUCCCUCUGGAAACUGAAUUUCAUAAAAAUAAAUCAUCAACUAUAGGUGGAAAAAAAAAUGGAAAUAUUUAUCAACCAUUGUAUUAAUUGGAUAGAUCUAUUUUUAAUUUAGUAAUUUACCAUGUUUCCCUUUUGCUAUAUUCAGGUACAUCCAGAGCACUUGAAAUCCUUAAACUUGCCUCCAGGAUAACCAAGCUUUUGUACAAUUCAAGCAUAUUUUCGAGCUGCUAACUUCAAAUCCUCACUAGUUGUCUAACUAUACUAUAAUAGUAGGUCUAAAAUGAUUCCUUAACUAUAUACUUAACGGAUUUUUGUUGAGGGGUAAUAAAAUUAGACAACGUACAUAGUUAGUUCUUUAAAAAUGAAAAAAAAAAUGAUGAAGUAGCUAUCGUAAAAAUAUGGAUCUUGUGUCUAACACAUAACCUCAAAAUUAAAGCUAUAAAGUUUAUGAAGAGAAAAUUUUCUAAGGCCAUAUAAGGAGAUCAUUCAUCUCUUUUCAUUUGAUGUGGGACUCUUCAACAUCCCAAGGGCGGAGCCACCUUAGGCGAAGGGUGUUUCGGUGCACACCCUUCGUCAGAAAAUUAUAUGGUGUACUGUGUACAUAUGGUAAGUGUUAGUUAAUAUUGUAGACACGUAAUUUUUGACCGAACAUAAAAUUUUAUACUAUUUUUAUUCCUUAAAUGUUUCUUUUAUGUCUAAGUUAGAUAUUUUAAUUUUGUCUUAUUUUAGUGAAUUUAUUUUAAAAGAUUUGAAAAUAACAAAAAAAUAUGUUUUAUUUUUAUUCUAGUUUAAUAAAUAAACUAGUAUUUCUUAUUUAUAAUUUACUAUUAGCUACUCAAUUUUUGUUAAUUUUUAAAAAUAACUAAAUAAUAUUAUAUUAUAUUAUAUUUUUUUUAAAAAAAAUUUUACCCCACUACCCAUUACCCCCUAAACCUCGCUCUACCCACAUUUCCAACCCCACACAACACACACCACACACACAUAUACUACGUACUACACUACUAUACAUACAGACGCACAAACACUCUGCAAAGAAAAAAUCAGCAACCAAAUACACAACACAAUACUACAACAACCAACACAUAUACACGACACACAACAAAAGAAAGGAAGAGAAAAAAGUCAGCAAAAUAUAUACACACAAAACGCCAGAAGGAGGAAAAAAAAACUCACAUUUUAUUUUAUACAUUUUCUUUCACUCACAAACAAAAAUUGAGGUUGAGGUUCACUUUCGUGAUUUCUUAUUAGGAUUGUUUCCUUUUCGUGAAUUAAUUUCGCAAGAGGUACCAUUUAACUUUUUGUAUAAUUUGAUUUUCAUAAUUAUAUAAUACUUGAUUUCAAUGUUAUGAAGUUGCUCGAAUUUUAUGUGCGUUUAAUCUCAUUGUUUUUCAUCUUGUACCAUAUGCUAUUAUUAAUUAAGCAUUUCUUCCAUCCAAUCAAAAUUUAUCAAAUACCUGAAAAAUUAUUAUAAUAGUUUGUUGAGUCUUUAUCUAAAAUUAAAAAUAUUCAUACUAGAAAAAUUAAGAAAUGAAGAGUUACACAUUUUUUAAAAAUUAUUUUAAUGCUUUUUGUCAUAACUUGUAAAUAUACUAAAAAUAUAAAUGUAUCAAUGUCGGAUUUUAAUAUGAAAUAACUUUAUAUUUAUUUAAGAUUUUAGACUUUUAUUAUGUAAAUAAUGUUUAUAAAUAUAAAUAGUAGAUGUAGUUUAAUCACUAAUAAUACACUUAAAGUUUCUACUAAUAGGUAAAAUAUUAAAAUAUAUGACCCGUUUCAAAGGUCAAUUUCAUUGAAACACUUAAAAGAAACUCAAGGAUGCGGUGACGCACCUUGUCCAAAUUGUUUUAAUAAUUAAUUUUUGUUAAUUCAAACCAAGAGGUGUAAAUUGAGAUUAUUAAGUGUGAUGAACUCGAGAGGGAAAGACAAUUAUGUCUCCAAAUGUCAAGAUCAAGAAUGCAGUUUUGCAUCCGGUUUAAAACUAAUAAAAGCUAAACAAAUAAAAAAUGUGACCAAAUCAUGGCCUUUAAAAAUAUAUUCGAAAGAUAGUUAAAUAAGUAUAAGUUAAAGAAGCGACCGUGCUAGAACCACGGGACUCGAAGGAUGCCUAAUAUCUUCCCCUUGAUCAACAGAAUUUCUUACCCGAAUUUUUAUUUCGCAGAUCAAAUAAAGAGUCAUUUUCUUUUGAUUAGAAAUUAAAUUAAAAAAAGUGACUUGGAACACCAUAACUCAUUUUUAAGUGACGUCUUCGAAAAAAUAAAAAUAAUCUCUAAUCAAUAACGUCACUUAAAUUGGAAAAAACCUUUCGUCGUGCGGGCAAAAAGAGGUGUGAUAUCCUUGGCGACUCUGUUGGGGAUCGAACCCAGAAUCUCUGGUUUUAUUAUAUUGACUUUUACUUGCUCUUAUUAUUAUUUUUUGAGAUAUAUUGUGUAUGAAGGACUAAUGUGUUACUUAUUGCUAAUUUAUUGCUUUGAUAUGGUUGAAUUAUGUUAUAUAUUAUUUUCUUUCACGCACCUUUUCGCAGUCUAAACAAAACACUUCAUACACAGUCAUAAAAAUGCAGUUAUGCAUCCUAUUUACUAUUGAGAUAAAGCAGAAUGUUUUGACACCUGUUGAAGAAUUAUUAGUAGCACAUGUUAGGUGGAGUUGUAUCAACAAUGAAGUCAGAAUAACGUGUAACAUCUCGCAACUAGAAAGAACUAGAAGAAAGUUUAAAAUCGGGAAAUAGUUUUUUUGUUAAGUGUAAGGAAAUCUGAAAUUUUUUAAGUAAGUUAAAGUGAGUUUUUGCUCAACUUCAAACGACCAUAACUUCUAGCUCAUGAUGAGAUAGAUGUAGUUUUAAAUAUGGUUGGAAAGCUCUUGGAAUGAUCUUUCCAACGCUGCUAAGUUUGCACCAUUUUGGGUUCGUAUGAGUAAGUUAUACCUUUUGAAAGUUGGGCUGUCAAAAUAAGAAAAUUUCUAACCCGAAUUCUAGAAGGGAGAUUUAGUCUUUUCCUAACCUAAUUAUUCUAAUUCGUUUUAGGAGAUUAAUUGGGGUAAAACCAAACUUUAUUUAAUUUAGAAAAAUUAGAUUUUACACUAGGGCUUGGAGAGGAGAAGAAAGAAGAGAAAAAAAGAGAGAAAUCGCCGAGAACGUUCAAGCCUUGCUAGUAGAAUUCGUCGGGAGUAAUCCCUACAAGGUAUGUGAGAUCAUCUAGUGUUGGGUUAGUUCACCCACACGUCAAACUCGUUUCAAUUCAGCAAAAUUGGAGUUGUUUGAAUGUUAAGAAAGUGAAGUUCUUGAAGAACAUUGUUGAAUUCUUGUUGGUUGAUUGUUAAAUGCCUAGUGUUGAUUUAAUUAGUGUUUCCGGGUUGUUUUUUGAGUUAAAUCUAUUGGGUAUUGAGGGUACUAAUGAUCCUAAGUGUUUGGGGGAAUGAACUAUGGAAGUUUGAAAGGGUUUAGAUAUGAAAAAUAGAGAAGAAAAAUUGUCAAAAACCUGAGGUAAGGGGUGGGGCAUCGCGCCAACCAGCGCGCCUUAAAAAGGGCUCUAAAGUUCACCCCUUGGGGCGAUGCGCUAGCCAGUGCUCCCCAACAGCUUCUCUGUCGUUUGAGGGCUGGAACCCCGCACCUCUCAUAGCGCUAGGGACGUCAAUUCUCCCCAUUCUGUCACGCCUCGAGCCUAUACCCCGGGCAGGACCGGCACCUGGAGACCAUUUCUAUUCCCAAGCGAACCCUUGGCCUGACUUUUUUAACUCAGCGGAAACCUAACUCAACAAAAUAACUCAAUGCAAAUGCAAUGUUACAAAACAACUUAACUUAUAAAAUCUGGCCACAAAGGCAACUCGAAUCUCAAAAUAGAAUAUUUACAUAUAUACAUAGAUGAGAGACUCAACACUAACUGACUAACUGUCUAUGAAGCCUAUAAAAUACUGAGAUGGAUGUUGGGACAGACCCCGCAACACCCUAAUAAAACAAAACUAAGAACACAAAAUAAUUGAGUCCUCCGGAAUGCAAGGAGGCUCACCACUAAUUCUAGGGUGCUCAGCUGGAUCAACGGCGUACUGGAUGCUAAUCCUGGGUACCUAACUCUGCAUCAUAAUAAGAUGCAGACCAACUGACAUCAGUACAUGGAAUGUACGAGUAUGCGAGUUGAAAAGCUAAACCACAACUUAAGCUUGAAAAGAGUAGAAAGAGAACACUUACCUUGGCUCUGUAUGACUCAUGAAUAACUGAACUCAAUAUAUUAAUCGACAACCACUACUAUGAUCCCUAGUGAUGAUACAACGUUUUACCUCACGCUGCCCAAGAACCAUCCUAUACCUUGCCGUGAUAUAGGAAGCUAACUUUACUAAGUGUAUCCAGUGGCUUAACUUUCGUGAUCAUCUAAAAAGUAUGACCCGAGAAACUCCAUGUUGGCGCAUGGUUCUUAUGGAGAGUUGAGUUAAUAUGAACUUGUGUCCCCAAUUCGGUGCUCAAUACUACUCCCAAAAAUACUUUGGCUCAUAAGUGUCUUUAAACACAUCUUGCUUUAGUUGAGGUAAUUACUCAAAACUUAGCCCAAAGGCUCUUUUGGAAAACAUGUUUCCUCUUUUACUCAAAUGUAAAAACAUUUAUAAACUUUUUUGGGAAUACUUAGUUUCCUAAUAGCUUUUGAGAAAUAAACUCGACUUUAAACUUUUGACUUAACUUGAAACUCGAUACUCUUUACUUGACUUGAAACUCUAUACUCUUUUACUUGACUUGAAACCUGAGUCUUGAAAUGAAGUUAAAACGUUCACUAAAGACUCUUGAACAACUCUAAAAAAAAAACUUGCUUUGACUUACUUAACUUCUAAGCUUGACUCUAAUUUCACUAGACUUCUAACUUCAUUUGACUUGGAAACUAACUCUCCUUGAAUCUUGGAUUAUGAAUUCAAGGUAUUUGAUCACAUGUUAUGGAUGAGUUUGGGAUGUCAAGAUGUACCUUAAAGUAUUGGAACAACUAUAAAACAUUGGUAUUUUACCAAGAAACAUGUAUGAAAAAGUGGGGAAUGAAGGUAACGGGAAGGAUUGGCGUCCUUGGCGCUCUAAGAGGUGCGGGGCAUCAUCCCUCAAACUUCAGAGGGGCCUGCUGGGCGUUCUGCCAGGCGCUCUGCCCCAAGGGGAAAGUUUAGCGUCCCUUUUUCGGGUGCGCUGGCUAGCGCGACAGCCCAGCCCUUUUCCCCAAAAAAAUUGACUUUUUCCCUUUGUUUCUUUCCAACUCUAAACCCUUUCAACCUCAAAGGUUCCAGCAGCAAAAUCACAACCAAAUAAUGUCCCAAAUCAACAAGAACUUCAACACCACAACCAACAACUUCAACAACACAACCAACAACUUCAACAACACAACUAAUCUUUUCUUGAAAAUAAAACGAAUAUGGUGUGUGGGAGAAAGGACCAACCCCAACACUAAGGAUCAUAAAAUCCGUCAACAUACAAGAGAUUCAAUUCAAAAACACAACCAAAUCAUGUCCCAAAUCAACAAGGGACUUUAACAACACAAUUAACAAUAGCAACAACACAACCAACAACACAACCAACCUUUUCUCAAUAAUAAAACGAGUUUGGUGUGUGGGGGAAAGAAUCAACCCAUCACUAUGAACUCACAUACCUAAUAAGGAUCACCCCUGACGAUAUCCACGACGAUCUUGACGAAAAAUCCUUGCUUGAUCUUCUUUUUCUUCUCUUCUUCUCCUCUUCACUCAAAACCCUCACUCUCACUCUUUUAAAAAUGGGACAAACUGAUCUAAAAAUCAGUCCAACACUUAAAUAUAACCAAAAGAAUUGAUUAGGGAAAAGACCAAAAUAUCCUUAAAAUUUCCGGACGAAUUUCUCUUCCAACUGCCCAACUUCCAAAGGGCAUAACUCCAUCAUAUGAACUCAAAAAUGAACAAACUCGGUGGCGUUGGAAAGAUCAUUCCACGAGCUUCACAAACAUAACUGGGACUACUCCUAAAUCAUCCUGAGCUAGGAGGUAUGACUGCUCAAAGUUGGCCAGAAACUCAUAUUUUUCCACACUUAACCAAAUUUUCCAGAUUCUGAAUUUUUACAAAAAAUGACUAUUUUCGAUUUUCAGCUUCUCUAUAGUUAUUUCAAAUUGUCGGAUGUUACACAUUCUUCCCCCCAGUUCCAUUUCGUACUAGUUCUAAGUGAUGUACCUAUGUUUCUUAGUUGAUUUAUCAUGAAAUCGUUCAUAAAAUGAGAUCAUGAACCUUGAAUCCAUAAUCCAAUUCGAGGAAAGUUAUGAUCAAAGUCAUAGAAGCUAAGAGUCAAAGUCUAGAAGUUAAGAAGCAAGUCAAAACAAAGUUUCUUAAAGUUUUCAAGAGUCUUUAUCAAACGUUUUACCUUCGUUUUAAGGCUCAAGUUUUAAGUCAAGCAAAGAGUAAUCUUGAAGUUCAUUUCUUCAAAAGUAUAUGGGGACUAAGUAUUCCCAAAGAGAAUUAAAAUGUUUUCACAUUUAAAUAAGAACGGAAACUGAGAUUUCCAAAGAGCUUUCGAGCUAUUUUUCAGAAAAAGUAAUCAUUUUCUAAAUGAAGCAAGAGUGGAAACUUUGAUUUCCAAGAUAGCCUUUGAGCUAAGUUUUUGAGCACUAAUCUCAAAUCACAGAAGAAGUAUGUUUUUAAAACAUACGAACCAAUAUAUUUUGGGAGUAGAAUUGAGCAUCGAAUUGGGGACGAGCAUGAGUUUAGAUAACUCACGUCACCAUAGAACCAUGUAGCCACCAUGGGUGGAAAAGGGUCAUACUUUUUAGAUGAAUCCUCUUCGCAAUAGACUAGUGGAUCCAUUAGGCAGUUUAGGUUCUAUACCUUUGGACGGGUAUAGGAUGCGCUGGCAGCAUGAAGUAGAUCGUUGUAUCAUCAUUGUAGCUCUUAUGUGAUGGUUGUCGAUUAGAGAAACUCCUACAUAAGUUAUUGUAUUUUUAUAUACAUUAAUUUAUUGUAUUUUUACAUACAUUUCAGAGUUGUUGUAUCCUUUUAUAUACACAGAGUUGACAUCAUGUUUUUAAACAACUUUUCUUUAUAUUGCACUUGUUUUAAACUGCUUUAUAUUAAAAUGAGUUCAGUAAGUAUUCAUGAGUUGAGUAGAGCCAAUGUAAGUGUUUCUAUCAUAUUCCAUUUCAAGCCUUUGUUUGUUAGCAAUCCAACUCGCAUACUCGUACAUUCAAUGUACUGAUGUCAGUUGGCCUGCAUCUUAUUAUGAUGCAGAUACAGGUAACUGGGAUCGGCAUCCGGCGCAUCGUUGAUCCAGUGAGCAGUUCAGAGUCUGUUGGUGAGCCUCUUUGUAUUCCAAAUGACUCAUUUUUAUUGCUUUCUAGUUAGUUCAUUAGGAUGUUGUGGGGUUGUCCUAACAUCCAUCUCAGUUGUUUUAGAGGUUUCAUAUAUAGUCAGAUGUUAGUCUUCUGAGUCUUUUCAGUUUCAUUUCUUAUUGUUAAGACUUGGGUUGCCACUUUUGACCAAGUUGAAUGUUUGAUCUUUAAAACAUUCUCAGUUAUUUUAUUAUUCAGUUCAGUUAAAUUCAUUUAUCAUUAUAGAUAUGAAUAUUGUCUUCCACUGAGUUAAGCAAGUCAGGCCAAUGGUUUGUUUGGGGACAACAAUGGUCUUCGAGUGUCAGUCCCGCCCAGGGUGUAGGCUCGGGGCAUGACAUAACGCUGCUAUACCGAUAAGUUGCCCCUCCCUGACUCGAGUUGUCCUCUCGAGUAAACCAGUCUAGACACCAAUCUCUUCAGGACUGAACCUAGUAAAAACUAGAAUAUAGACAUGCUUGUCCCUAGUAGGUUUUACUUAUUUGCAUCAUUUGUAUUUGACUUAGUAAGCCUCGAAACAAGAGUUGGGUCCGUCUGGGACAAAUAUCCCUCUCUUACUUGACCACUUAAAUCAUUUAAUGUGUUACAUGAAAAUACAUUUAUUUAGAAAGUCUCUAUAAGUUGACUAAUUUUAGUGUGAUUAGUGAAGAGAAUGUUAUCUUUCGAUCUUUACAAAAAAAAAAAAAAGAGAACACAAAAUAUUUCUUCUUUUAAAAGAUAUUAUACAUUUCUAGAAAAUAAAAUGAAAGAUUUCGCACUACUUAACCAAAUUAUAAAAAAAAAAAUCUUUUUGUACAGUUAAAGAAAAAAAUUCAAAAGAUUUUACUUUCAUAACACUUUGAAAAAUUGCAUUUGUCAAAAAAAGCAAUAAUUAAAAGUAUUUUUACAGUCCAAUCUGAACGAUCUACACACACCUGGUUCUCAAAUCGAUGAGAUAGUAGGCAACCGUCCUCGGGUUCGAUGAUCCUUAUUUAAAAAUUCAGAAAAAAAAAGUUAUCCAUUCUAAAAAUAGGAUUUAUCUUUUAAAAAAAAGUGUUUUAACUUCGUAUAUAACGAACUACGCACACCUGAUUCUCAACUCGAUGUGAUACGUAGGCAACCCUCCUCGGGUUCGGUGAUCCUUAUUUAAAAAUUCAAAAAAAAGAGAAGUAUUUUCUUAUUAAAAAUAAUGUUGUGUUCAUAAUCACUCUGAACUACGUUUGACCUGAUUCUUGUUUUGACAAGAUACGUAGGCAACCCUCCUCGGGUUCGGUGAUCCUUAUUUAAAAAUUCAAAAAAAAGAGAAGUAUUUUCUUAUUAAAAAUAAUGUUGUGUUCAUAAUCACUCUGAACUACGUUUGACCUGAUUCUUGUUUUGACAAGAUACGUAGGCAACCCUCCUCGGGUUCGGUGAUCCUUAUUUAAAAAUUCAAAAAAAAGAGAAGUAUUUUCUUAUUAAAAAUAAUGUUGUGUUCAUAAUCACUCUGAACUACGUUUGACCUGAUUCUUGUUUUGACAAGAUACGUAGGCAACCUUAUUUUGAGGUUCGGUACAACCUCAUUGUUUCCUGUGCAUUGUGUGGUGAGUUUUAGGUAUAAAAUUCAAUGGAAUGACUUUUGAUCUAGAACUUGGCCUAAAUGUUGGUUGAGGCGAAAUUUUGAGCAACAUUUAACUUGGAAAAUCAUUAUAGGCUUUCUUAAAUGUGUAUAAAAAUAUAAAUAGAUUAAUCAUUUAUUAAAUAAAUUGAAAUUGAUUUUUAAAUUAAAAUUAAAAUUUAAUUGAUAUGUCAUAACCCGUAAAUAAACUGUUAUAAGUAAGAAUUGUUUAAAAGUAUAUUUAAAACCCGUAAAAUUAGACUCUUAAAUGUGUAUAUGGUGUGAAUUUUCCAUAUAAUAUUUCAUUUAGUGGAGCAAUAAAUAAAUUACAUUAUUACAAUAUAACUAUACCUUAGUCGCCAACAUAUUGAGGCCCACUAUAUGAAUUUUUACUUUUUCAAUUAUUGAGCAUAUAUAUUAUCCUUAUUUAGAAGUGAGAGUCGGAAAGGACCAACACUGCAUUAAUACUCUUGUACAACAUGCAUACAAUUUUGUACAUUAACUUUUGACUGCAUUAAUUAGUUGUACAACGUGCAAAAAGAAUUGUACAUUAAUAGAAUGACUAACACCAAGGACUAACAUUGCAAUUAUUAUUAUUACUCAUUACUUAGAAGGACUAACAUUGCAAUUAUUAUUAUUACUCAUAUUAUUAUUAUUACNNNNNNNNNNNNNNNNNNNNNNNNNNNNNNNNNNNNNNNAUUAUUAUUAUUACUCAUUACUUAGAAGGACUAGCAUUGCAAUUAUUAUUAUUACUCAUUACUCCUUAUUAGAAUUAUUAUUAUUACUCAUUUGGCUCCUUAUUAGAGUUGACACUUUAAAGCACGAACACCGCACCACCAUGUUGUACACAAAACAUUUCAAAUUGUACUAUAAAAUUAAUUGUGCCUCGUUAAUUGUACACGUGCCUUUCUAAAUAUACAACAACCCAAAUGAAGAAUUAAUUUUCUGACAAUUUUGGUUAUAUUUUUCUUUAAAAUAAUUAUUGCCUCGAUUUUUAUUUUUAUUUUUAACAUUUAUUUUUAUUUUAAAAGAUUGGAAAUUUUAUGUUAAAAAUUUAAAUAAUAGAAAAAAUGAUUUAUUUAACUUUUAUCAUCAUCAAUACUAUUAAUUUAUUUGACGUUUUUCUUAAUCUUCAUCUCAUCAUUAAUGUUAUUUAUAUAAUUUUCUUAAAUCACUUAUUUUUCUUUUUUAACUCUUUUAUAUUUUAUUUUACUCUUAUCUUUCUUAUUUAGAAAUGAUUUGGAGGACCAACAUUGCACUAAAGAGUUGGACUAAAAGCUAUAGAAAUUGUACAUUGAGGCCCACCAAAAAGAUGAACUAAAGUAACUUCAUCUACUUCUACUUUUUCUACACAUAUUUUUCUUUAAUAAAAUAAUUAUUGCCUCCAUUUUUAUUUUAUUUUUUAACAUUUAUUUUUAAUUUUAAAACAUUGGAAAUUUUAUGUUAAAAAUUUAAAUAAUAGAAAAAAUGAUUUAUUUAACUUUUAUCAUCAUCAAUACUACUAAUUUAUUUGACGUUUUUUCUUAAUCUUCAUCUCAUCAUUAAUGUUAUUUAUAUAAUUUUCUUAAAUCACUUAUUUUUUCUUUUUUAACUCUUUUAUAUAUAUAAAAGUUGGAUAUGUAAAUGAUGAUGUCACAUUUCUUAGAAGCUAAGAUUACUAUUUAUCUAAUUUCUCCAAAAAAAAAUUAAAAAAUGAAGAUAUCAUACGCAAAUUUAUGGUUAAACUUAAACUAUUUGAUUCUCGAAAAAUAAAAAGUCUCACAUAAAAUGGGACAGACGAAGGAUAACUCUCAAUUAAAUUUAUUUCACUUUUUAUUUUCCAUUUUUAACAUAAUUUUUCAAGUUGGAUUUCUAGGAAUUCUAUAGUAGACCCAUUUAAAUUUUGCUUUUUUGUUUUAAAUUAGAGAACUUGUCCGCACUUCUCGCGAUCAUUUAAAUUAAAUAUUUUUGAUUAAUUUUAUAUUUACUUUGUUGUUUAAUCGUAAUAUUAUUAUUUGUCUUAAUAAUAUGAAGAUUGUGAAAAAAAAUAAAGCUUCACAAAUUUUACAUCUAUUAAAUGAGGAAGAAUAUAUUUUUUAUCAAAUAAGUUAAAAUAUAUUUGCUAAUAACAAAUUCUUCCAUUGCAUGAAGUUCAUCCUUUAAUAUAUAAUAUAUAUUUCGGUCUACCAUUCUCCUUAAAUGUCUAACAAAUAUCUCAUAAUGUCAAAUAAGACUGUAAUACUCCCUCUGUCCCUAAUUACUUGUCCACUUCUAAAUUUACACAUUUAUUAAGAAAUCAAUUAAUGACAUAAUGAGUUUAUCAUUUUACCCCUAUUAAUUAUGAAGUAGAUGAAAAGUUCUGCAAUUUUCAAAGUAAUUAGUCAUUUAAUUGAGGGUAUAAUAGGUAAAAAAAUAUUCUUUCUUGAUUUGUCAAAAUGGACAAGUAAAUAGGGACGGAGGGAGUAUAAAGAAAGAUUUUUGUUUUCCAAAAAUAGUCACCAAUAACUAUUCUAGACUUUCAUAUAUGAAAUUUUAAAUUGUAGGAUAAUGAUUAAUUUUUUUUAACAUAAAGUCGAAAAAGUCUGAAAAGGAUAAAGUGUUCGGAGAUACUUUUAGCCACCGGAGGACCGACUCAAUGAGCACCUUUGGGCGGUGCUUUUUCGAACACCUUACCCCUAACCUCACAAGGGGUAGGAGGGUUGUUUCUGAUAAACCUCGACUCAAGUAGAGAUGAAAAGGAAGCAAUAACAAAACACUAGUUGAGUUCAAACCAAUAAAAAGAAUGAAGGACCUAGUAAAUUGAACCGUACAAAAUUGUAAUGUUGAUAAUCUUUCCUAAAAUUUAUCUAAAUUAAACUCUCCUCUAAGCAGUCACUGUUUGUUUUUGAGCAUAAGUUAUCCCUUUCUCAAUGCUAGCUUUCAACUCUGGCUUUAGAGCUUCCAAUGCCUUUUGUUCAUACUCAGUUAAUCCACGGAGAUCAGAUGAAAUCAAAGCCUCGACGCCAUUCCUUCCUAGUUUAACUCUUGAUGCAAAGAAUGGAAGUUCCGUCAAGUCAGAUUGCACGUAAGAACACUCGUAAACAUCAGCAUCACCAUCAAGGGCACGAAGUGAGGAUUCGAUAAAUCUAGCUGCUGCAUAUGCCAUUGACAGUGUUGCAGAUCCUGCUCCAGCCUUUGCCUCAACGACCUCGGUCCCAGCAUUUUGGAUCCUCACGGUUAGUUCCUGCACUUCUUCUGCGGUGAAAGUAGUUGAUGGUCUUGUCUUUGACAGCAAAGGCAGAAUUGUUAUCCCUGCGUGCCCACCAAUCACGGGGACGUCAACGUCUAUGAGUUUCAGGUUUUUCUUCUGCGCGACGAACGUGUUUGCCCUGACAACGUCCAGGGUGGUAACACCAAAGAGUUUUUUAGGAUCAUAAACACCCUUUUGCUUCAGAACCUCGGCAGCAAUCGGCACUGUGGAGUUGACUGGAUUGCUGAUAAUGUGGAUAAAGGCAUCUGGGCAGUUGUCAGCAACAGCCUCAACCAAGCCUUUCACAAUAUUAGCAUUAAUGUUGAACAAGUCGUCUCGUGUCAUACCAGGCUUUCUCGGAACGCCAGCUGGUAUGACAACUACGUCUACACCUUUCAAAGAAUUGGCCAACUCAGAAGCUCCCGUAAAGUCAAAAACCUGAGCGGGAGUGUUGCAAUGGCUGAGAUCUGCUGCGACUCCUUUGACAUUUGCAAUAUCAUAAAGGUGCAACGAUGAUACUAGCGGCGACAUCUUAAUCAGAAGAGCUAGAGACUGGCCUAUACCGCCAGAGGCUCCAAGAACAGCCACUUUAUAAGAUGCUUGGGGCUGAACAUGGUUCCAAGAUCUCUGCUUUUCGUUUCGGGCUUUAGGAGUAAUGGAUUGUCGAAGAGCUGCAACACUUUCAUUUCCUAGAAAUGACGACUCGGAUUCACAUCGUACAAAUGCCUCUGCCUUAAGGCCACUGAAAUUCCUAAGGUAGUUCCUGGUAUUGUAUUUCACAAUGAAGGCUUUUGAUUGUAAUUUUGGGCUCGCUAUGGAGCCAAAGGAUGUAGCGGAACCAACUGAGAGAGUAGUUGCUGAUGCUGCUGCCAUUUCACCCACUGAUACAAAAAAUCAAGACAAAAUUAAAGAAGAAAGAAAUUAGAAGAAUAAUGAGGUUGAAAGAAAUAAUAUCUAAUUUUCUCUCUUUUCAAAUCACAAAAUAAAUUUUUGCUUGUUCUCCUCCUAAUUUGAUACGAAUUCCAUAAAUAGAAUGAUUUUUUCUCCAAAUAAUUUUUCUUACCCUUUGAAACACUAAUCAGGCUUCUUAUAAAUUUCUAAACCACAAUGAAUUUUCUCUCCUUUGUAGGAGGAAUAAAUAUUUUUUCAAAAAGUCUUUUAUUUUGAAAAGAAUUUUUUGUUACAUAAUCUCUUUCUUUACAUCAAUGUCUUCACAAGAAUCAUGAGAUAUUCUCUCUUUCUCUUUUGUUAAAAAAGUCACAUGACCUAGAAAUUUGAUGGACAUCUUAGCGACANNNNNNNNNNNNNNNNNNNNNNNNNNNNNNNNNNNNNNNNNNNNNNNNNNNNNNNNNNNNNNNNNNNNNNNNNNNNNNNNNNNNNNNNNNNNNNNNNNNNNNNNNNNNNNNNNNNNNNNNNNNNNNNNNNNNNNNNNNNNNNNNNNNNNNNNNNNNNNNNNNNNNNNNNNNNNNNNNNNNNNNNNNNNNNNNNNNNNNNNNNNNNNNNNNNNNNNNNNNNNNNNNNNNNNNNNNNNNNNNNNNNNNNNNNNNNNNNNNNNNNNNNNNNNNNNNNNNNNNNNNNNNNNNNNNNNNNNNNNNAAAUACAAAUAAAAAAUACAAAACAAAGAUAAAAUGUCAAAAAAAGGAAAAAAAAGAUGAAUACAAAUACUGGUCAUAGAGAGAUGCCACAUCAAAUUGUCAAUAUUCAGCUUUAUAUAUACAUAUAUAGGUUCAUGCCCUUAGAUGUUAUUUUAUUACUUUAGCUGGCAUCGACAUUUUUGUAAAUCUGAUAUCUACUUUGGAACAUUUUAUAAUGUGGCAUAGGCUGACAAUUGAGAUCAUAAAUUUAAAAUAAUAAAAUUUAAAAUAAUAAAAUUUAACCGCUUUUUAAAAAAAAUAAUCAUAUAACUAAUUUGAUUUACACUCCAAAAUUCAUAGGUGUCACAUAAUUUACACAUUAAUUCUUCAUUACUUAAUAUAUGUAAUUAUAUCAAUAACAUAUAAAUUGAAAUUAAAAAUACAUAUUUUAUUUGAAAAUCACGUAAUAGUCCUAUAAGGUAUAAUAAUUAACAACUUAACAUAUUUUAAAAUUUUAGUUGACUCUCCGAAUUCCAUAUGUCUCAUGUAAUUGAGACAGAGAAAAACAUAUAUUGGUUUAAAAUUAAUAAAAAUAUUAUAAAUUAUAAUAAUUAACAACUUAAAAUUUAUAAAAAAAAACCUUUAAAAUUUUUUAGUUGGCUCUCCAAAUUCAAUCGGUAUUACAAUAAUUAAAACAUAGAAAUUAACAUAGAUUGGACUCCUGCUGACAUUUAUGUUUCCUUUUUCUAAAUUUUCUCUUUUAUANNNNNNNNNNNNNNNNNNNNNNNNNNNNNNNNNNNNNNNNNNNNNNNNNNNCAUAUAAACAGUUUUUGUUAACUUUCAAAAUUUCAUCUAUGCCGCAUAAAUUGGGAGAAAUAUAGAUAUAUAGAUAUUUUAAGUUGCUAAUUAUUGUGAGUUAUAGUACGUUUUAUGUAAUUUUCAUAUAUAUUACUCGGUCCUGAUUUAUGUGAUACAAAUGAAAUUUCAAAAGUCAAUGAAUUUUUUAUAAGUUUUUUUUUAUAUUAACUUGUUAAUUAUUGUGAUUUCUAAUAUAUUUACGUAAAACAUACUCUAAACACAAAUAAUUAGCAACUUAAAAUAUAUAAAAACAUACUAAAAAAUUGAUUAACUUCAAAUUUCAUAUGUACCACAUAAAUUAAAACAGAAACAGUGACAUAUAUUGGGCCCCGUGCUGGCACGGGGUCCAAAUCUAGUGUAUAUAUAUAUAUAUAUCACUUACACCAACAACUUAGGUGCAAGAGAUGCACUAUGAUCUGAUUGAUUUGCGGCCUCCCCAGUGGCCACAAUAUUUCUAACCUAAAGAGUCUUUUUCUGUAAAGCUAUUUUGAAAAAUAACCACUUCUUGAAUAACAAGAAAUGCUAAGAUAUAAAUUUCUAUCAUCCUCAUUUUUCUUCUUAAAAUUUAUUAUUAUUGUUGGAGAUUUUAGGAUGGGCUGUAUUUUUUUUUUCCAUUUAAUUUGUUAGAAUUUAUAGUGUGUAUGGCCUGGUAGGGGACAUGCAUUUGAUAAGUCAAAAUGUUGAAAAAAUAAACAUCAAAGAAAUUUUGGAAAUUUCCUAAAUGACCUAUCAAUUUCAACCUUCUUGGGUAUUUUUGAUGGACAUUCCUAUCUGAACGCGGUCAAGAAUAUGAGAUUUGUAAUAAAAUAAUUUUCAAUAGAAUUCGUUGGAAAUUCCAUCGGUAAUUCAAUUUUUUUUAGCGAGAUAAUAAGAAUCCUUUUCCUUAAGAUGGCCUUGGUGCAAUUUACAAUGUGGGUUUGCUAUAAAGUAAAGUGUUUUUGUCAAAAGAUGUUUUCAUGGAAAAGUGUUUAAAAAAAUUUAAUUUUCAACUCUUUUGCUAUCCAAAUAAAGGCCUGUGGAUAAAUGAGGCCCCUCCAAGUUAUUGGGAUCUAAGUUGUGCUUUUUUUAAUUUUGGUUUAACUUAGCAGAACAAUUUAGAUCAUGUAAUAGUUUGGAAUGCCAAACUCAAAGAUGUGGCAUUUUACACAAAUCAAUAAUCAAUGAAGGUAGUUCAAAUAAAAAUAUUUUAUAUAAUCUAGACAACUACGGUUGGAGUACGGAUGAAUCAUUAAAGAGUGGGAGUGGUGGGAUGAGCCAAUAAUUAAUGUGUAAUGCGGUUUAUGAAACUUGUUUUUUCUUAUCUAAUUUAAUAGGAUAAGUCAUUUGUAUCAUUAUUAACAAAAAAAAUUUCUUAAGAAAUUCAAAAAUCUUGACCAAUUAAACUUGAAAAAGUUGAAAAGUAUUUUCCUUCGUACCAAUUAACAUGUAUUUGAUUUGAAGGAAAAUAUUUUCCACAAAACCAAAGAUUUUUUCGGAAAAUAAGUAAUUUUCUAACUUAGUUUCUUUAGUUAUAACUUAUAAGCAAGGACAAUAUUUUAUCCCAAGAGCAUUUAGAUACAAUCUGCACAAAUAUAAUGAUACUAAAUAUUAUGAUACUGAAUCACCUUUCACACAUACCCAAAACCUUGUCCUGACCCAAGACCUAACCUAACCUUAACCUCAACACCGACUCGUAACAUGACCUUGACCCUGAUCCCGUCUCCAAAAAUUCGUCCACAAUCUGAUCUUGGCCUAACCAAACUUGAGACCUGACAACCGACCUUAAUCAUGAACCAUGAUUUAGUGCCUACUUGGUACAUAACCCUAAUCUCAAUUGAGGCUGGCGAUCCAACCCCGAGCCAAGACUCGAUUCUAACCUUGAGUCCAGAUCCAACACUGACCCGAGACAAGACUUUGACACAAUGAUGAGUUUUGUGUCAAGAUUGUGGCGGGUCCUAGGUCACAUUUGGGGAUUAAAUUCUAAUUAGGGUUAAGUCUUCGGUCGGGGUUUCAAGUCAAGGUCAGAUCUCUGAUUGAUGUUAGAAUUGAGAUUUAGGCUCAAAUUAGGGUUGAGUCAAGGUCUAGUAGAGGUUUUGGGUUGAGGCCGUGGGGAGUUGGGUCCUGGUCCAGGCUCCAUCUUGGGGUCAAAGUCAGGAUUGGUAGCCGAUCGAUGGUCUAUGGCGUCUGGGUAGAUAAUUAGGUGGUGGUGAUGAGGUUGGAAGAGAGUUUAGGAAAAUAAUUUUCUUACUUUACAUAUCUAUUUCAUAAAUAUUUUCCGAAUAUUUAUGCCAAUCAAAUAUAAAAAAAAAUGGAAUCCUUCAUACCAAACACAUCCAACAAAAUUUCAACACGCCCUAUCACCAUCCUACUUAGCUUAAUUUUCUCUUGGUCCUCAAGUAACAAAAGGUCUAGUAGAGGUUUUGGGUUGAGGCCGUGGGGAGUUGGGUCCUGGUCCAGGCUCCAUCUUGGGGUCAAAGUCAGGAUUGGUAGCCGAUCGAUGGUCUAUGGCGUCUGGGUAGAUAAUUAGGUGGUGGUGAUGAGGUUGGAAGAGAGUUUAGGAAAAUAAUUUUCUUACUUUACAUAUCUAUUUCAUAAAUAUUUUCCGAAUAUUUAUGCCAAUCAAAUAUAAAAAAAAAUGGAAUCCUUCAUACCAAACACAUCCAACAAAAUUUCAACACGCCCUAUCACCAUCCUACUUAGCUUAAUUUUCUCUUAGUCCUCAAGUAACAUCUUUUCUUUGCCCUUCAAUUUACAUGUGAUGAAUUUAUUGAUUGUUUAUUCACAUUAAUAGUUUUGAAUAAUUUUCCUUUAAAAUGUGUUAUAAGAUAAUCUUUUUUUUCCCCAAAGGACGACCUACUUAUUGAUCAAGGACUAAUAAAGACUUUAAAUUCAACAAGCAUAAUUAAUGCCAACCACUUCAUUGCAUCCGACUAAAGAUUAAUACUCCCUUCGUACGUAUAAGUAUCGUUUUAGUUUAUUUUACAUUCAUUAAAAAAUUGUUACUUGUGCUCCAAGAGUGAAUAUUAAAGAGGAAAAAGACCCAUUGAUUUAAGGGCUGAUUUUGACCUAGCUAGACACGCCUUAGAAUAUAUAUUUUCUAUCCUAAUUUAUGUAACACAAUUUAGAUUUCUUAAUUUUAAUCCUGAAUUCAGACAAAGAAUCUUUGAGUUUUUAAAAAUAAGAAUAAGAUAUUUGAAAUAAGAAGUUGAAUGACAAGUCAUAAUAAUUAACAGUUCAAAAUAUUUUAAAAAAAAAUAUAAAAAAUUACGAUAAAAGAAAAACUCAUUUAAUUAAAUUUGAACGAUGAGAUUGAAUAGUCUUGCAUAUGUUGGGAGUUGUUGAGCGAGGUAACUCAAGAACAAUAAACUAUAUACAUCUUUUCCAAACGAUAUAUUAAAUGAGUUGGGAAUCGAAGAAUGGUGUUAUGGUACAUUACAAAUGUUCUUUUAGUUAUAUGUCUCCUUUUAUAGAAUAUCAUGAUUAUAAUAUAACACAAAAAGCAAUAAAUGAAAGGACAAUUUGCAUAAAUUUCACUAGUUUAGGAGCUAAUUACUUAGAUAAACUCUAGUUUGCAAUAUUACGUAUCUUAUCAGAUUUUGGUGCGUCUAUAUACAUCAGAUACGUCCAGAUACAUGUAUCUCACGAUAUAUGAGGUCAAAAUUGUUCUUGAUACAUUGUACCAAAGUAGAUUCAUAUGUAUCUGAGAUACAUAACAAAUCUCGUUUGCCUCUCUUCCAUCUCACUCGCCACUCUCCUAUGUAUCUGGUAUCCCGAUACAUGUGAAUUACACUAGAUACAUCUAUAUAGUGUGUAUCUAGUGUUAUUCAAAUGUAUCUGAGAUACAUAACAAAAUCUAACUUGCCUCCCUCCCCAUCUCACUCGCAUCUCUCCCUAUUUUAGUGUAUAUAUAUGGUAGCAAAAAUACAUGUAUAUGAGUAUAUCUUUUUCAAUAUAUAGUAAUAAACUGUUAAUUAAUGGUAAGAUACGUAAUAGUUUGAAUAUAUAGGUAAUAAUAAUAUAUAUGAUAGUGAAGCUAAGUACGUCUAAUUAGGUGGGUUAUCUCGUAGUACUCCAAGAUUUCCUUGCUAGAAGAAAUUGCCUUGCAAAUUGUAUUAGAAAAUCAAAAUUUCCUAAAUGUAGAAAAAGGUGACAUGUUAAUGAAUUUAAAAUGAUAAUGUUCAAUGAGGUUGGUAAUUGAUCAAUUUUUUUUGAAAUUUCAUGAACUUUUCUAUAAUGUUUCUUUUUUCAUGUUUUUUGACUAAUUCAAGGCCUCCUAACAAAACAUGUUCCUAUAAAUUCUAACCAAAAUAUUAAGAAGAGAAGAAACUUUAUUUUAACUUAAAGAAAUGAAGAUAAUUUUAACUUUUAUCAUUGCAUUACUAGUUAUACAAGAAGUGUCCAUUUUUCACAAUAGAUGUAUACACAAAGCCUCUAUAGGUAUAGGAGUGUGGCUAGUGCUGGCUGUUCCUGCCCAGAAGAGACCAAAACCACCAUCUCCACCACCACCAAAGGGCGGGCCAAUAACUGGCCAACGAGCUAGGUCAACAUUAGUUCCUCCCCCACCUCCAUAUUUAACGAGUCCUAUAAGGGUAUAAAUGACCUUAAUGAAAGAAGCUUUGAUAUUCGUCCUUAAGUUGUGUUGCUUAUGAACGAUUUUAACAUCUUUGUUUAGUUUGUUUUAUUAAUGUACCAAAAAUAAAGAUAAUUGUUGUUUGUUAUAUCCAUUUUGUAUUUUGUAUUUCUCUUAAGAAAUAAUAAUUAUGUGUUAUUUUAUUAAAUUAUCCUUAUGAAUGGUACUUUGGAACUUUACUAAAAUCGUAGCCUCAACAAAAUUUAAAUUACGAGAAAUGCAACCUAGGAACUAAUCUUAAUCCCUAUAAUUAACAAUAAUUUGCUCAUACUAUUAAGUCCCCUAAUCAUUAGUUUAACCUACUAAUUGUUUCAUGUUUAUACAUAAUUAGGCCCGUCUGCAUCGGUCGGUUCGGUUCGGUUUUAAGUAUUAUCGGUUCGGUUUAUCGAUUUUCAAUUCUUAAAUACAUUAAACCAAUAACCAAACCAAUAAGAGAUCUUUUAUCGAUUUUUGUUUAUCGGUUUUAGUCCUUAAUAGUUCGGUUUUUGGCUUAACCAAUAAGAAAAUACUUAUAAAAUAAAUAUAUGACUUCUCUAAUAAAUUUGAUGCGACAACACAAUAAUGUAAUGAAAAAACUAUACAAGUGUAACACAAAGAGAAAUUAAGAGGAAUGUGGUUCUUACUUUAGAUUUUGACGUUUUGUAUAAUGUGAAGUUGUGAACUAAAAAUCACUUUGAAGUGUUGAAGGCUAAAGGAUAAAGACAGUAACUAAUAAGGUAUUGAGAUUAAUAUAUAAUAUUUAUGUACAAGUAAAUGUAGUAAAUUAUUAGUCUUAAUGGGUUAUCGGUUUACCCAAUAACCAAUAAUCAAUACCGAAUCGAUAACCCGAUAUUUUCUUUUAUAAAACCAUUAAAAAACCGUUAAUCUAAUAACCCAAUAACAAUAAACCAACAACACUUUUUUCGGUUUGAUUUAUCAAUCGGUUCGGUUUUUACAAGCCCCUAAAUUACGUCCUGUCGUCCCAUUCAUUAAUUUGGCCAAAUCAUUUUCUCCAUUACUUCCAAUAUUUUACUUAUCAUUAUUUGUUUUCAUUAGAAUAACUCAAAUUCUUCCAAAGAAACGGGACAUUUACAAGGUUUCUUUUGAUCCUUAUAUUAUUCUUCUAACAAAUAAAAAGAAAAAGUUAUAAACCAUAUUCCAAAAACCUCCAACAAUAAGAGCAUGCUCCUAGAUGAUUGUUACGUAUUGUUUCAUAAUGUUUCUUAUCAUAUUAUAUUGUAUUGUAUUAUAUUAUAUCGUACUGUAUGUACUGCUUAAAUGAAUAUAAUGUUUGGAUAGAAUGAAUAUAAUCUCUACUUCUUUUGCUAAUAACAAUAUAUUAACGGACUGAAUCUCUGUAACAAUCUGAUCCGUCAUUUUUUAAAUACAACUCAUGCGAGCCUCAAGUUUUUUCUUGAACUUCAGUGCCCAAUUAAGAAUUACACAUGAAUAUCUUAUACCAUUCAAUGGGGCAACAAACUAAAUACAAUAACUACGCCUCAGUUGCAAACACACUGGGGUCUACUAUACAAAUUUUUAUUUCUUCAAUUAUUGAACAAAUACAACAAUAUACACUAACAAGUCACAAAGAGUGCUAUAAUUGAAAUAGUGAAAACACACACACACACACAUAUAUAUCACUUACCAACAAAGUUUCACUUGGUGUAGGAGAUGAUCUAUGGCCUGACUUAUCCGCGGCCUCUGGUGGUGGAGGCGGCAGAGCAGGCCUCAGUGCAGAAACAGCCAGUGGCCACAUUUCUACACACCUAAAGUGGCUAUUUCUGUAAAGUUAUUUUGCAAAAUAGCCACUUCUUGUAUAACAAGAAAUGCUAAGAUAUAUAUUACUAAUUUACUAUCAUCCUCAUUUUUCUUCUUAAAACCUUAUUAUUAUUAUUAUUAUUGAUGGAGAUUUUAGGAUAACUCUUUUUAAUUCGUUAGUAUUUAUAGUGUGUAUGGCUUGGUAGGGGCCAUGCAUUUGAUUAGUCAAAAAUGUUGAAAAAAACAAAAUCAAAGAAAAAUUGGAAAUUUCCUUUAUCUAUUUCACAAAAAGAUAGAGGGUAUUUUCGAUGGACAUUUCUAUUGGAACGUUAUCAAGAAUAUGAGAUUUCUAAUGAAUUAAUUUUCAUUUUCAUUAGAUAAUUCGAGUUUUUUUAGUAGUGAUUACGAUAAUCCUCUUCCUUAGGAUAACAAUGGUGUGGGGCGGUUAUAAUUAUACAAGUUCACCCUUAGCACAUGUUUGCGAUAAAAAAAAUAUUUUUAAAAAUAAGUUUAUUUUUUAUUUAUUUUCAGGUGCUCGAUAAGUAAACAAAAUAUAUUAUCGUGAAAUAUUUUAUAUAAUAUAGACAAACACUAUUGGGAUGUAGAGAGUGGGAGUGGUGGGGAUGGGAUAUUGUGUUGGAAGGAUGGGAGGAGACAAUUCAUGUGUAAUUGCUAUUUAUAAACCUCACUCAUUAGGGAAUUAAAUUAAUUUUUAUCAUUUAAAAAAAAAUUGUUUUCCUAUAAAAAUAUUUUUUUAAAAUCUUGACCAACCAAACAUUUAAAAAAUAGAAAAACAUAUUUGGUACGAAAAAAAAAAUAUUUCCUAAAAGGGGAGGUGGAGGCCGGGAAGAUAGUGAGUAGGAGCCAAUGGUGGGUUCGGGGGCUGGGGUUAGAGGUCGAUGGUCGAUGACUUCUAUGGGUGGAUUAGGUGGUGAUCAUGACUCAUGAGGUUUAAAGAGAGUUUUGAAAAAUAUUUUAAUUUCCUUAUUUUAUGUAGGAAGUCAUUUCGUUAAUAUUUUACUUGGAAAUUUCAAUUAAUCCGUCCCAUCACUAUCUUAUUCUCUCUUGGAUCUCAAGUAACAACUUUUCUUUGCCCUUCACCUCCACGUUUUGAGAAAGAUUAGUCUUCGAUUCACAUUAGUUUUGAAUAAUUUUAUUUUGAAUGUAUUAUAAGAUGAUCACUUAUUGAAGGACUAAUAUAAAGAGUCAAAUUCAACAGGCACACUGCCAAAUACUUCAUUGCCAUAUUGGAAAAGGCAUAAUACAUAAAUAUGCUUUAAUUUUUAACUUAGUCGUAAUUGACACUUACCCCUUCAACUUUGGAUGUGUAUAAGUUGGCAUAAGUUGGACGGCAUAGAUAUAUCAGCCGAGGUCACGUUCAAGAACACGUUUAUAUAUUAUGUCAUUGCUAUAUAUAAAAUUCAUAGCAUCAUGGACUAAAGAAUAGUACUCAUAGAAUUGCCACAUCAUAGAAUUAAAAGUCAUAUUUGGAUCAUAUCUUGUAAAUACUCCAAGAUUUUCAUGAAUUUUUCUAUGACGUUUUUUUUAUUUGACUAAUUCAAGUCCUUCUAACUAAAUAUAUAUACCUAUAAAUUCUAAUAAAAAAUUAAGAACAUAAUAAACAAGUCCUAAAUUAAAGAAAUGAAGAUGAUUAUAACUUUUAUCAUUGCAUGACUAGUUAUACAAGAAGUGUCCAUUUUUCACAAUAGAUGUAUACACAAAGGCUCUAUAGGUAUAGGAGUGUGGCUAGUGCUGGCUGUUCCUGCCCAGAAGAGACCAAAACCACCAUCUCCACCACCACCAAAGGGCGGGCCAAUAACUGGCCAACGAUUUUAAUGAAGAAUCUUUGAUACUCUAGAGUAAUGCAUUUAAGGACAUGGAGUUUGUCCUUCUUCUAAUGGACUUAAGUCGUACUAUUGCUUAUGAACGAUUUUAAAAUCUUUGUUUGAUUUUUUCUUUUAUGUACCUAAAAAUAAAGAUUAUUGUUGUUAGUAUACAUAACAACGAAUAAAUUUUUUCUUUUUUUAUACACUCUAUGUUUGGUUUUACUUGUAUCCAUUUUGUAUUUCUCAUUCCUAUUAAAAAAAUAAUAAUUAAGUGUUUGUUUUAUUAAAAAAUUAUUCUUAUGAAUGGUACUUUGAAAUUUAAAUUUGAAUAAUGGUAUUUCAAUUAGUUUGGAAAAUGGUUACUCUCUCUAGAUUUGUUAUAGUAGAAGUAAAAGUAAAAAAAUAUUUUUAUUAUACUCGACUGGGAAAGAAAGGACUAAUUAUUUUGCAUUGCAAUUUCUUUUUAUGUCUAAAGCAUUUGGUAUGAAAAAUCACGACAUGCACCUCUGCAAGAUUUGAAUAAAAUUCACUAAAAUUGUGAACCUCAAAAAAUUUCAUAUUACAAGAAAUGAAACUAAUAUUAUUCCUAAUCCCCCCUAAAACAAUCCUUCUAAAGAAAGCUGAAAAUAGGUAAAAUUCAAUCGUAAUCCAAAAACAAGUUAUCUAGAUUUGAAGACGAUAAAACAUAUAAAUAUGAUAUAACUUUAACAAUUUGGUUCAUUAUAUCAUAUUGCAUAAUAUUAUUUCACGUCAAACUAUGUUAUUAAUGCUUCAACCAUAUUAUUGUUAUUUCACUGAAUCGAAACAAAAAAAAAUAAUCACGAUUUUAUUAAAUCACCAUGUCAAUCCCUUGAAAUUUCAAUCCGCAUCGAAUUAUUGUCAUCCCUACUUUUCCUUUUCUUUCUUGGACCUCAAGUUAUAACUUUUCUAUGCAUUUCACAUCCAUGUGUUACAAAAGAUUGAUAAAAGUCUCCAAUUCACAUAUAUGUUGUAUAGACUUUAAAUUCAAGUACGUACCAUAUAUAUAACCCCAUAUACCCUAAACCUAAGGUAAUAAGAAACAAGUCCCAAUUUAUUUUUUUAAAAAUGAAGAUGGUUAUAACUUGUAUCAUUGCAUUACUAGUUAUACAAGAAGUGGCCAUUUUUCAAAAUAGCUUUACAGAGAAAGCAUAUUUAGGUAUAGAAAUGUGGCCACCGGCUGUUUCUGGCCAGCGGAGACCGCGUCCUAGGUAUGGUUAUUUUGAAUUUUGAAAAUAAAAUUAAAAAAGUACGAAUUCAAAUUAAUUAAGCUAGAUCAGAUACUAGAUAAGGAGAUAUUAUAUGAGAAAAAAAGAGCAUCUAGAUGUAAGAAAAAAUGAUCAAUAUUUUGGGAUGGAACUAGUCCCAUCACUUUCUUGAAUAAUAAAAUUAUUUAGUCCAAGUCUUAUGACUUCUAUAAAAACACGGUUUUGUAAGAUAUAUUUCAUAUCUUUAAAGACAUUAUUCAAUGUUUCAACAGACGGCUAGAGAAGAAAUUAAUUAAUAAAUUAAUGAUACAUGUUUUCCAAGUUUUGAUCCUUAUUUUCUUUGAUAAAGAAAUGAACGUUGUGACUAACUCAAUCUAAAGAGCUAGUUCAUUCGGAGAGGAUUGUCAAGACCAUAUAAAUAAAUCACUUUUCCUGAUCAUCGCCAUCGAUGUGGGACUCGAUCUCUCUGAACGUUCAAGAUUGGAUAUUUGAAACUGGGACAAUAUAAUCUAGGAACCCGACAAUGGGUAAACAAUAAGAUGUGAUGGUAGUGACUUUAAUUUGAUACUAUAUUGCUUUUUUUUUUAAAAUGAGUCGAGACCCUUAGUUUAACUCAACCACAAAACUAGAUCAUGAGGUGAUCAAGAGUACGUACCCAAGAUAAUAGGAUUUUAUGAGAUCCAAAAUUGUAAAACGAUAGGCGUUAAUAAUUUAUUUUUAUAAUGAUUUUUCAUCUGGUAUUCAGUACUUGCUUUAAAUUGUUCGAUUAAUUUGAAGACAAGUUCAACACAAGUAGGUUGAAAAUUAUUAAAGUCAUAUUGCAAGCUAAUGGACUUUCUUUGAUGUUUGUACUUUUCAACAAUUUUGGAUAAUCAAAUACCUUCGACCUAGACAUAAACAUUAUAAAAUUUUUAUGAAUGCUACUAUAUAUAUAACUCAUAUUCCCAAAACCUCAAACAAUAAGCUUUUAGAAAUCAUGAAAAUGAUUAUAACUUGUAUUUUUGCAUUACUUGUUAUACAAGAAAUGGCCAAUUUUUCAAAAUAGCCAUUUAGAAAUAUGGCCACUACUAGCUGUUUAUGCUGAGAUGAUGAGACCUUCUCCGCCACCACCACCACCACCAAAGGCCGCAUCAACUAUUAGGCCAAGAUUACUAAUUGUACCACCUACCCUGCCGUCUCCAUAGUUGUCUCAAAGUUUUGAUUUGUUGGUGUGCAGAGAUGGAGCUAGGAUUUUGAGUUUAUAAAUUUUGAAUUCUAGAAAAUGUAGCUCACUAGAUUCUUUGUAAGUUAUUUAUACGUAAUAAGUAGAUAUGAAAAUACAAAAUAGGGUUUGAGUCAAAAUUAUUGAGUUCUGGUGAAGUUGUAGGCUUGUAGCUCCACCACUAAUGGUGUGUUACCAUGUUCAUAUUUUCACUAUGUGUAUGAUUGCGUUUAGUACUUCAUAUAAUAAAGCAAGGC
RNAcentral lists this long non-coding RNA (26770 nucleotides) under Solanum tuberosum (potato). RNAcentral describes it as "long non-coding RNA (STUB_LNC004364)". Lineage: Eukaryota; Viridiplantae; Streptophyta; Magnoliopsida; Solanales; Solanaceae. The record is from RNAcentral.